GACAGAGGGUGCAAACGUUGUUCGGAAUUACUGGGCGUAAAGCGCGUGUAGGCGGCCCUGCAAGUCGGAUGUGAAAUCCCACGGCUCAACCGUGGAAGUGCAUUCGAAACUGCAGGGCUAGAGUCCUGGAGAGGAAGGUGGAAUGCUUGGUGUAGAGGUGAAAUUCGUAGAUAUCAAGCGGAACACCGAUGGCGAAGGCAGGUCUCUGGGCAUUAACUGACGCUGAGGAGCGAAAGCAUGGGGAGCGAACAGG
Molecule: ribosomal RNA, 253 nt
Filed under: uncultured bacterium
Lineage: Bacteria
Description: partial 16S ribosomal RNA
Rfam family: Bacterial small subunit ribosomal RNA
Source: RNAcentral